UACGAAGGGGGCUAGCGUUGCUCGGAAUCACUGGGCGUAAAGCGCACGUAGGCGGAUUCCUAAGUCGGGGGUGAAAUCCUGGAGCUCAACUCCAGAACUGCCUUCGAUACUGGGAAUCUUGAGUCCGGGAGAGGUGAGUGGAACUGCGAGUGUAGAGGUGAAAUUCGUAGAUAUUCGCAAGAACACCAGUGGCGAAGGCGGCUCACUGGCCCGGUACUGACGCUGAGGUGCGAAAGCGUGGGGAGCGAACAGG
RNAcentral lists this ribosomal RNA (253 nucleotides) under uncultured bacterium. Its description in RNAcentral is "partial 16S ribosomal RNA". It matches the Rfam family "Bacterial small subunit ribosomal RNA", at positions 524 to 776 of the family's 1533-position model. The record is from RNAcentral.